RNAcentral lists this ribosomal RNA (497 nucleotides) under uncultured bacterium. RNAcentral describes it as "partial 16S ribosomal RNA". It matches the Rfam family "Bacterial small subunit ribosomal RNA", at positions 28 to 507 of the family's 1533-position model. The record is from RNAcentral.
GACGAACGCUGGCGGCGUGCCUAAUACAUGCAAGUAGAACGCUGAAGCUUGGUGCUUGCACCGAGCGGAUGAGUUGCGAACGGGUGAGUAACGCGUAGGUAACCUGCCUGGUAGCGGGGGAUAACUAUUGGAAACGAUAGCUAAUACCGCAUAAGAGUAGAUGUUGCAUGACAUUUGCUUAAAAGGUGCAAUUGCAUCACUACCAGAUGGACCUGCGUUGUAUUAGCUAGUUGGUGAGGUAACGGCUCACCAAGGCAACGAUACAUAGCCGACCUGAGAGGGUGAUCGGCCACACUGGGACUGAGACACGGCCCAGACUCCUACGGGAGGCAGCAGUAGGGAAUCGUCGGCAAUGGACGGAAGUCUGACCGAGCAACGCCGCGUGAGUGAAGAAGGUUUUCGGAUCGUAAAGCUCAGUUGUAAGAGAAGAACGAGUGUGAGAGUGGAAAGUUCACACUGUGACGGUAUCUUACCAGAAAGGGACGGCUAACUACGUG